CAGCAGCCACGGUAAUACGAAGGGGGCUAGCGUUGUUCGGAAUUACUGGGCGUAAAGCGCACGUAGGCGGAUAUUUAAGUCAGGGGUGAAAUCCCGCAGCUCAACUGCGGAACUGCCUUUGAUACUGGGUAUCUUGAGUAUGGAAGAGGUUAGUGGAAUUGCGAGUGUAGAGGUGAAAUUCGUAGAUAUUCGGAAGAACACCAGUGGCGAAGGCGGCUCACUGGUCCGGUACUGACGCUGAGGUGCGAAAGCGUGGGGAGCAAACAGGAUUAGAUACCCGUGUAGUCCCUGUUUCUUAUAC
Molecule: ribosomal RNA, 301 nt
Filed under: uncultured bacterium
Lineage: Bacteria
Description: partial 16S ribosomal RNA
Rfam family: Bacterial small subunit ribosomal RNA
Source: RNAcentral